This 489-nucleotide ribosomal RNA is filed under the name uncultured bacterium. RNAcentral's name for it is "SSU rRNA". It matches the Rfam family "Bacterial small subunit ribosomal RNA", at positions 26 to 526 of the family's 1533-position model. The record is from RNAcentral.
AGGACGAACGCUGGCGGCGUGCUUAACACAUGCAAGUCGAACGAGGUUCAGCCGACCCUUCGGGGAGAGCGAAAAUCUAGUGGCGAACGGGUGCGUAACACGUGAGAAACCUGCCCCGGACUUGGGAAUAACAGUCGGAAACGGCUGCUAAUACCGAAUAUCUCCGUAGCGUCGCAUGGCGCAUCGAAGAAAGCUUUUGCGGUCUGGGAGGGUCUCGCGGCCUAUCAGCUAGUUGGUGAGGUAACGGCUCACCAAGGCAUCGACGGGUAGCUGGUCUGAGAGGAUGAUCAGCCACACUGGGACUGAGACACGGCCCAGACUCCUACGGGAGGCAGCAGUGGGGAAUAUUGCACAAUGGGCGAAAGCCUGAUGCAGCAACGCCGCGUGCGGGAAGAAGGCCUUAGGGUUGUAAACCGCUUUCAGCAGGGAGAAAUGACGGUACCUGCAGAAGAAGGUGCGGCAACUACGUGCCAGCAGCCGCGGUAAUCU